CAAGUCGAGGGGCAGCAUGAGUGUAGCAAUACAUUUGAUGGCGACCGGCAAACGGGUGCGGAACACGUACACAACCUUCCUUUAAGUGGGGAAUAGCCUAAGGAAACUUGGAUUAAUACCCCGUAACAUUAUGAAGUGGCAUCACUUUAUAAUUAUAGCUCCGGCGCUUAAUGAUGGGUGUGCGGCUGAUUGGAUAGUUGGCGGGGUAACGGCCCACCAAGUCUGCGAUCAGUAACUGGUGUGAGAGCACGACCAGUCACACGGGCACUGAGACACGGGCCCGACUCCUACGGGAGGCAGCAGUAAGGAAUAUUGGUCAAUGGACGCAAGUCUGAACCAGCCAUGCCGCGUGGAGGAUGAAGGUCCUCUGGAUUGUAAACUUCUUUUAUCUGGGACGAAAAAGGGCCUUUCCAGGCCAACUGACGGUACCAGAUGAAUAAGCACCGGCUAACUCCGUGCCAGCAGCCGCGGUAAUACGGAGGGUGCUAGCGUUAUCCGGAUUCACUGGGUUUAAAGGGUGCGUAGGUGGGCAGGUAAGUCAGUGGUGAAAUCUUUGGGCUUAACCCGAAAACUGCCAUUGAUACUAUUUGUCUUGAAUAUUGUGGAGGUCAGCGGAAUAUGUCAUGUAGCGGUGAAAUGCUUAGAUAUGACAUAGAACACCAAUUGCGAAGGCAGCUGGCUACACAUAUGUUGACACUGAUGCACGAAAGCGUGGGGAUCAAACAGGAUUAGAUACCCUGGUAGUCCACGCCCUAAACGAUGGAUACUCGACAUACGCGAUAUACUGUGUGUGUCUGAGCGAAAGCAUUAAGUAUCCCACCUGGGAAGUACGAUCGCAAGAUUGAAACUCAAAGGAAUUGGCGGGGGUCCGCACAAGCGGUGGA
RNAcentral lists this ribosomal RNA (884 nucleotides) under uncultured Flavobacteriaceae bacterium. RNAcentral's name for it is "bacterial SSU rRNA". It matches the Rfam family "Bacterial small subunit ribosomal RNA", at positions 58 to 936 of the family's 1533-position model. Lineage: Bacteria; Pseudomonadati; Bacteroidota; Flavobacteriia; Flavobacteriales; Flavobacteriaceae. The record is from RNAcentral.